This 616-nucleotide long non-coding RNA is filed under the name Homo sapiens (human). RNAcentral describes it as "HSALNT0350535". The record is from RNAcentral. Lineage: Eukaryota; Metazoa; Chordata; Mammalia; Primates; Hominidae.
UUUCACUUAUUAACCUAAAGAUGGUGAGGAUCUGCUGGUUCUCCCCCAGGCCUGGAGGCUGCCUACCAUCGGUGGCUCUCAUCGGUCCUUCCAAAGUGCCUACGGAAAGCUUUGUCCCAUCCUUGAAAAAUUGCUAAUGGGUUUGGAGAUACGAGGUGGAGAUGACUAGCAAUCAAACUCAAAGGUGGAAGUCACAUCGAGGCAGAUGAGCAGAUGAGGGGACCUAGAGAAGAAGAGAGGUGCAAGGAGAGCCCAGCCAGCAGGAACAUCUGCCCCAGUAGGCAGCACUGCCCCACAUCAGAGUCGAGGAAAGCAAAGCUCGGAUUGGAUAAAAGAAACUUGCAAACACGGUCAGUGCUUACUGCAUGUGGGCUCAGAGCACGUUACCCUCCUUCCCUGCAUGUUCCUGUGAAACGGGUUUACUGCUCUAACUCUCAGGGACACUGUGAAGACCAAACGAGAAAAUAGAAACAAACAUAAUUUAUAAACCAUAAAGUACUGACACCAAAAGAGGGGCGAGCACAGCAUUGUGAAUGUGCUGGUACUAAAUGGUUUGUUUUAAGAUGAUUUUAUGGUGUGUGAAUUUCACUUGAAUAAAUUUUUUUAAUGGAGUUCA